This 696-nucleotide ribosomal RNA is filed under the name uncultured Arcobacter sp. RNAcentral describes it as "bacterial SSU rRNA". It matches the Rfam family "Bacterial small subunit ribosomal RNA", at positions 56 to 763 of the family's 1533-position model. Lineage: Bacteria; Pseudomonadati; Campylobacterota; Epsilonproteobacteria; Campylobacterales; Arcobacteraceae. The record is from RNAcentral.
UGCAGUCGUACGAGGACGGAUAUUAGCUCGCUAAUAUUGUCAGCUAAGUGGCGCACGGGUGAGUAAUAUAUAGUUAAUCUGCCCCAAAGAAGAGAAUAAUUGUUGGAAGCGACUUGUAACGCUCUAUAUGCCUUUAUUACAUAAGUAAGCAAGGGAAAACAUUUAUGGCUUUGGGAUGAGACUGUACGGUAUCAGCUAGUUGGUGAGGUAAUGGCUCACCAAGGCUAUGACAUCUAACUGGUUUGAGAGGAUGAUCAGUCACACUGGAACUGAGACACGGUCCAGACUCCUACGGGAGGCAGCAGUGGGGAAUAUUGCACAAUGGAGGAAACUCUGAUGCAGCAACGCCGCGUGGAGGAUGACACAUUUCGGUGCGUAAACUCCUUUUAUAUGAGAAGAUAAUGACGGUAUCAUAUGAAUAGGCACCGGCUAACUCCGUGCCAGCAGCCGCGGUAAUACGGGGGGUGCAAGCGUUACUCGGAAUCACUGGGCGUAAAGAGCAUGUAGGCUGGUUUGUAAGUUGGAAGUGAAAUCCUAUGGCUUAACCAUAGAACUGCUUCCAAAACUGCAGACCUAGAAUAUGGGAGAGGUAGAUGGAAUUUCUGGUGUAUGGGUAAAAUCCGUAGAGAUCAGAAGGAAUACCGAUUGCGAAGGCGAUCUACUGGAACAUUAUUGACGCUGAGAUGCGAAAGCGUG